Molecule: long non-coding RNA, 340 nt
Organism: Rhipicephalus sanguineus (brown dog tick)
Lineage: Eukaryota; Metazoa; Arthropoda; Arachnida; Ixodida; Ixodidae
Exons: 3
Source: RefSeq, a predicted model, not a curated record
UGAGUAUGAACGUGAGUGAGUGGCUGUGAGUGUUAGUAGGUGUGAGUAUGAACGUGAGUGAGUGCCUAUGAGCGUGAGUAUGAACGUGAGUGAGUGGCUGUGAGUGUUAGUAGGUGUGAGUAUGAACGUGAGUGAGUGCCUAUGAGCGUGAGUAUGAACGUGAGUGAGUGGCUGUGAGUGUUAGUAGGUGUGAGUAUGAACGUGAGUGAGUGCCUAUGAGUGUGAGUAGGCGUGAGUAUGAACGUGAGUGAGUGCCUAUGAGUGUGAGUAGGCGUGAGUAUGAACGUGAGUGCCUAUGAGUGUGAGUAGGCGUGAGUAUGAACGUGCGUGAGUGCCUAUG